RNAcentral lists this long non-coding RNA (411 nucleotides) under Elaeis guineensis (African oil palm). RNAcentral describes it as "long non-coding RNA (EGUI_LNC037444)". The record is from RNAcentral. Lineage: Eukaryota; Viridiplantae; Streptophyta; Magnoliopsida; Arecales; Arecaceae.
AUCAGGGUUGACAGUUUAACCCUGAGUCGUCCUAAACACAGGGGUCAAAAGGAUGAAUUAUAUAGUAACCAUAUUCAUGUAGGUUCUGAGUGUUGCGAUUGUGACUCUUCGACCUAUCCGGACGUCAGGUACCAUUGCUAGAUGGUCACUUCGAUUAGUACAAGAAUUGGUUCCUGUGCUACCGGCUUAGGUUCGAACCUGCAGGGUCACACACAUUAGAGGUUCCUAUCUGAUCUGAUGGCUGGUGUAGAAUCCUACAUGUUUGAGACUCAGUGAUCGAGAAUCAGGAUUCUCUGAUCAUGAGUUUCACACAUUAUGGGUAUCGGGGUCAAGAGUCCCACUGGUUGGGACUUUUCGAUCAGGGUUACAUAUCGAUGAAUUCUGAUGUCCAAUUGCCCAUCGGAUUUGGAC